AGACUUUGAUCCUGGCUCAGGAUGAACGCUGGCGGCGUGCCUAAUACAUGCAAGUCGAGCGAAUGAUGAGGAGCUUGCUCCCCUGAUUUAGCGGCGGACGGGUGAGUAACACGUGGGUAAUCUGCCUGUAAGACGGGGAUAACUCCGGGAAACCGGGGCUAAUACCGGAUAAUAAGAGAAGAAGCAUUUCUUCUUUUUGAAAGUCGGUUUCGGCUGACACUUACAGAUGAGCCCGCGGCGCAUUAGCUAGUUGGUGAGGUAACGGCUCACCAAGGCGACGAUGCGUAGCCGACCUGAGAGGGUGAUCGGCCACACUGGGACUGAGACACGGCCCAGACUCCUACGGGAGGCAGCAGUAGGGAAUCUUCGGCAAUGGGCGAAAGCCUGACCGAGCAACGCCGCGUGAGCGAUGAAGGCCUUCGGGUCGUAAAGCUCUGUAGUAAGAGAAGAACAAGUACGAGAGUAACUGCUCGUACCUUGACGGUACCUAACCAGAAAGCCAC
RNAcentral lists this ribosomal RNA (503 nucleotides) under uncultured low G+C Gram-positive bacterium. RNAcentral's name for it is "bacterial SSU rRNA". It matches the Rfam family "Bacterial small subunit ribosomal RNA", at positions 8 to 494 of the family's 1533-position model. Lineage: Bacteria; Bacillati; Bacillota. The record is from RNAcentral.